RNAcentral lists this non-coding RNA (30 nucleotides) under Rattus norvegicus (Norway rat). Lineage: Eukaryota; Metazoa; Chordata; Mammalia; Rodentia; Muridae. The record is from RNAcentral.
UAUGCAUAGGAGAUAUUUCAAGUGAGACCC